RNAcentral lists this long non-coding RNA (5161 nucleotides) under Vigna radiata. RNAcentral describes it as "long non-coding RNA (VRAD_LNC003195)". Lineage: Eukaryota; Viridiplantae; Streptophyta; Magnoliopsida; Fabales; Fabaceae. The record is from RNAcentral.
UUGCAAAGCCACCACUCUCCUACCUUCAAAGUUUGCAUCUCUUGCAUAAGAUGCUCAAAGAAGAUCUUAUUAAAGCCACGCCAUGGAAGGUAUGAAGUGUCCAUCAUGGGCAUAUUCGGAGAGAGUUGAAUUUCUUGGUUUUUGGUGGGAAGUCCUGUAAUGCCAAAACCAAUUCUUAAUAACUCUGUUGGGUUUUACUUGCAAUUAUAAUCAACCGAGUAAACGGCAAAUAUUAAACUAACUCUUAAAGUUAAAUUCUGUGAUUUGUUUCUAAAUCUCCCAGCACAUAUAUCAGCAAUUACAAUACAUAAUUAAAAAUUGAAAGGGAUUGUGUACCUUGAGAAUCAAUAAUGGCAUCUUCAAUAAGGUUUGGGAUGCAGGCAGCAGAAGCCAAGGAAGUUGCAGAUGCUGGACAGAGAAGAGCUCCUUUGAUUCCCAUUUUAUUUCCUACUUGCAAAGCCCAACCCAUAUUUAUGGUAACAAUUAUACAUGUUAUCUUGUUGUCGACAUUGGAGGCAUUAAUGUCUUGUAUGAGCUUUGGAAGCAGAGCAGGCAUGGUGGUUUUCAUUGAAACAAGAAGUUUGGCCACAUCGCUUCUGUCAUCCUGAGGAUCCAAACCAUCAGGGAGAGUCACCAUCUCUACUUUUGCCUCCUCCAUGUUGUCACCACCAGCAGUAUUGGCUCGCUUGUGGCUGAACUCAGUGUGUACAAAAGUGACCUUGCAACCAUGUUUGGCCAAAAGAAGAGAAAACUGCAUGAGGGGAUUCACAUGUCCUUGAAUAGGUAAUGGUAAACAAAGAAAGUGAGGGAUGCCCAUUUUGGUGAAUCAAUUGAACAAUUGGGAAGACUCGAAUCAAGUGUAGGAACGAAAUGUGUGUUGUUGUUGUUUGUGUGUAUGAUGUUUUUGCCUUAUAUAUAGUUAUUAAAAUGCGUACAGGCAACUGAUGUAUCUCGUACAAUUCAAAACUGGUGGGUUUGAAGAGACAUGGUCAACUGAUUUUCUGGAAUUAGAAUAAUAAUCUUCCUCAUGGUUUCUAUAUAAGAGAGAGAAAGACUAAAAUAAAUAAUAUGUAAGCAGAAGAGAUCAAAAACUUAAUAUAACAGUCAUUUGUGUAUACUUUUUAUGCGUGUGUGUGUCUCAAUGCGUCACUUAUGAUGUUAGUAAAAGAUAUAAUUACAGAUUAAUAUAUCAACAUUCAUUGAACAAGAUGUCUUCAUCCAAAAUUCAAACACGAAAGUAUUAUUUGUAAACGUCAGCAAUGUCGUAAAACAAAAUAUAUUAAACUACAAAAACUAAGUUAUAAGUUAAUAGUUGACAAGGUUGCUAUUAAUUGACAAACUUUUAGUUUAUAAAUUUUUAAGUGAUAAGCUAAUUUGUUAUAUUAAAGUGUGUAGUAGAAUUAAUUAGUAAUCAGUUGCUAACUGUAAAAUAUUAUAAAAAGAUAUAAUUACAUAGAUUUUAUUAUAUAAAUUAUAUUUUAAAAAACAAUUAAAACUUUAUUUAAAAGUUUAUUAUUUCUAUCUAUUUUUUAAAAGUUGUAUAUGUUUUUUUAGUUGAAUAAGUCAUUGUUCCAUCCUAAUUAGUUAGAAUUAUUUAAUUUUAGGAAUUAAAAUAUUUAUUUAUCAAUAUAAAUGACUGUUAUAUUAAGUUUUUAUUUUACAUAUAAUUUUUAUAUGAAAUCAAUACUUGGUUAUUUAUAUAAUAUAUCAUCUUAUUAGUUUAAAACUACUAAAAUAAAUAAGUGUUACAAAUAAUUGACAAGAAACUUCAUAUUUAUAAAGUUGAAGACUUAUAUUUAGGAAACUAAACCUAAUUCUACCGUCGUUUUAACCUCAUCUCAUGCUAGAUCAACUGGAAAGACAUUUCCCAUAAACUCACUAUUUAAGGUGAUUAUUGCAAAAAAAAAAAAAACAAACACAAACAAACAACAUAAUAAGAAUAAGUUAAUAUUAUAAACAAAAUCAUUCAUACAAUUAUAAAACUCUAUACAAUAUAAUUCAUUUCCAAAUCAAAUCAAAUCUCAGCAUACAUAUAAUUUCUAGACUUGAUCAAUCCGGAUAUAUGUAUGGAUGUCAAACCAUAGCAAGUUUUUGCAUUUGUAGUGGUGGAAUAGCUCCUCCCCAAACUACAACACAAGGCUAGUCCGUGUAUCACCUAUGGACAAAGAAUUAAAUCACAUAUUAGAACGUCUUACUACUCCUCCCCACAUAAUCUUCUUCUCUAUUUGGGAUGUAACGAUUAUUACAGUUUUAGGAUAACUUCCAAGGCUGAGUCUCUACAUUAAUACAUAACUUUACUUGAAACCACUAUUAAGAAUUUCACCUUAGAAACUCUUUUAAAACCACACUUUAAUAUUAUCACAACCUCAUUCGCAAGCCAUCCAAACAUUUCAUAUAAUAUACCAAGCACACCUUAAAGAAUCAAUGUAAAUAUCAUUCAUAAGAAAAUAAAAGAGAGAAAAAACACACAAAACUCGUACAACGAGGCACCCAGGGCUAGAACCUUGGAGCUCAACGCUAGACUUGUAGUAGGCAAGUGGCGCUUAGUGUCAGACUUAGAGUAGCCAGGGGCUCUUAGGUUUGACAAUGUUAAGGUUACAUGGUUGGGCAGUUGCAAAUUGUAAGUUAUGCUUAAAAAGAAUCCAUAAAGUUGAGGUUUGAAGGUUGAAAAGUUGUUUUGAGAAUAGAGACUAGACUAAUCUAUAAUAUUGAGUACUAGAGCAUUAAUGUAGAGGCGAAGUUUUCAGUUAGUCAGGUUGUUGGGAGUAGUAUCUUGGUCAAGCUAGGUGAGUGUCAUAAGAGUAAGUUGGUGAGAAUACUUUUGUUUCUACUUGAUGAGUGAAUUUUCAAAGAUGAAAAUUUUUGUUGUUAUGGAGAAUGUAAAGACCUAGAGAAUGGUAUUGUAGAAGUGGUAAUGGUUUAAAAGUAACAAGACUCGAUUAUUUUAAUAAUAAAAGAUUUUAAUAUAAGUAGUUGUGUGAGGAACGAGUUUCAUUAUUUUAAAACACAUCAUCUCUUUAAAAACCACUUUACUAAAGUUCUUUGACUUCUUUCUAAGGGUUCUCAUUCCCUGUUCAUCUGUUUGAAAAUUAGAGACUGCAUGAAUGAUCCUUGUAACGAGAUCUUGAAGUCUAACUAAUCAGAAAAGAAUAAGUUGAUUUUUGCUCUUUUUCCUUAGUCUUUUUUUUUCAUGUACAUGUGUAUCAUCUAUGGUUGCAUGUAUCAUCUGAGUCUUCUAUAAGACUAUCCACUAAUUAGUGAUCCUAAUGGUGCAUCCUGAUUGUAUUUCUAUUAUUAGUAGGACCAUGUAGAAAUUUUUGUCCGUUGGAGUAGUUUUAGGCUUUCUAGAGCGGUUUGAUCUUUUGUCAAGUAAGGAAAGCUAAUAUUCGUCUUAAUUUUUCAUAUCAGAAGCAUGAAUUUGUGUUUGAUAGAUAGUGGAAUGUAUGCUUGGUUGAAUAUGUUAUUAAUUGAAAUUCAUGUUGAGUGAUGUUGUAUAUUAAUGAGUGAAUAAUUGUCUAUUGAUGAAUAUUUUGAUGUAUGCUUGUGAUAAUGGUGUGAACUUUGGAUGUUAUUGUUUUGAAGUUAUAAAGGUGCAAAUCUGAUGUAGAGUUGAAAGUAAGAAAAGGAGAGUGUUGUUGGAUUGAUUUUUAGUCUAAAUUAAGGUUUUUAUAGAAUUUCCAGAGAAAAAGCUUUGGAAAGAUAACAGUGUUUGAGGUAUGUUUACAAAUCAUUUUAAACUUGUCUAGAAUGCUUGUUAACCAUAAUUUUGAUGUUGAUUUGGGAAGUGGUAAAUAGAUAGAAUUGUAGGUUGAGUUUUAUGUAGUUUUGGUCUACUUUAGGAGCUCUAACAAGUGAGAAUCUAAAUAAGAAGAUUUGUAAAAAAAUAAAGGUUUAAAGUCUUCUUUUUAGUCAAUUGUAAGUUGUUUAAACCCUUAGCUUGCAAAUUCCUAAACUAUAAAGUGUAGAAUUGGUUCUAGUAAAUUUUGAGUGGUUGAAUUGGUCUAGUACAUCUUAUUUCUAACCAAAUGAACAAUGUGGUACUUCAUUUUCAUCUAUAAACUUGCUUUCGUAUCAAUCCAAGUAUUAAAGAACCCAAACUGGUCAUUUUGUUCAACUACGAUAACUAUAUCAACUACUUCAACUGCGAUCAACUACAAUAACGUUAACAAAAGAAAAAUACAUGUUCUUUUUCAGUCAGGAGAAAAAGAAUUGUUGUACAAAGGAAGCAUCCCUACUUUGCCCAAUCCAUAAAGAAGUUGAGAUUCUUUGAUGACUGUCCACCUUCUUGUAUGUUAUUUAUAGUCAUCUCCUUCAGCUUCAAUGACUUUCCUUUAAUGUCUUCAUCAACCAGAAGUUGAUCCACCUUCUUCUUAAUCUCUUCCCUUGAAACUAUUCCAGUUUCAUCCUUUUCUAAACCAAUUCCAAUCUUCCACACAUCACAAAUAUAAGACUUGUUCAGAAAUUGAUCAGUUGCACAUGGCCANCACAAGAAAGGUACACCAGCACAUAUACCUUCCAGAGUAGAAUUCCAACCACAGUGACUAAUGAAGCAAGCCAANGAAGGGUGGUUCAGUAUCUUCUUCUGAGGGGCCCAACCAACUAUUUUACCUUUGCUUCCAUGGAAAUCAUUAGGGUAUGCAUUCACGUUUUCCUUCUUGUCAUUACUGGGACGCACAACCCAAAUAAAAGGCCUCUGAAGCAGAUCAAGUGCAAGAGCUAAUUCUUUAAACUGAUUCGGAUCCAUCAUUGCUAAACUGCCAAAGGAAACAUACACAACAGACUGAGGUGGUUGCUCAUCUAACCACUCCAAACANGCUCUGUCUUCUUCCCAGAAUGAACUUCUGUUGCUAUUUUCCAUCAAUGGCCCAAUUGGCAGGAACUUUGGUGAUAUGGAAAAUGCUCCCGGNUCAAGAUCAUAGGUAGUGUUGCAAAGCCACCACUCUCCUACCUUCAAAGUUUGCAUCUCUUGCAUAAGAUGCUCAAAGAAGAUCUUAUUAAAGCCACGCCAUGGAAGGUAUGNAGUGUCCAUCAUGGGCAUAUUCGGAGAGAGUUGAAUUUCUUGGUUUUUGGUGGGAAGUCCUGUAAUGCCAAAACCAAUUCUUAAAAACUCUGUUGGGUUUUACUUGCAAUUAUAAUCAACCGAGUAAACAGAAAAUAUUAA